CUCAUGAGCCACUGCUUCUCCAUCAACUCCCAUACUUCCAUAUGUACUUCCCUGAGUCCUAGAGAGCCUGGGUAAUUCUGUGAUUGCAGGAUCAGACAGGAUAGCAUUUCCUAAUUGAGCUCUGAAGAAUGUAUACAAAUUAUGUGAGAAGAAGAAAAAAGUGUGCUUGUUUGUGAGUGGAGACAAUUUUAUGGUCAGGAAAACUACAUGCUCUACUGGUCCCUGGGCAGUAGUGUGGUCUGUGUAUACAGAGGAUAGUCUUAUGUUCAGAGUAAGUAUGUCAGAUUGAUGAGGG
Canis lupus familiaris (dog) is the source of this 295-nucleotide long non-coding RNA. RefSeq lists it as uncharacterized. The record is from RefSeq and is a predicted model, not a curated record. The transcript has 3 exons. NCBI's taxonomy places the organism in Eukaryota, Metazoa, Chordata, Mammalia, Carnivora, Canidae.